RNAcentral lists this ribosomal RNA (254 nucleotides) under uncultured bacterium. RNAcentral's name for it is "partial 16S ribosomal RNA". It matches the Rfam family "Bacterial small subunit ribosomal RNA", at positions 524 to 776 of the family's 1533-position model. The record is from RNAcentral.
UACGAAGGGGGGCUAGCGUUGCUCGGAAUGACUGGGCGUAAAGGGCGCGUAGGCGGAUGGCACAGUCAGAUGUGAAAUUCCCGGGCUUAACCUGGGGGCUGCAUUUGAUACGUGUGAUCUAGAGUGAGGAAGAGGGUCGUGGAAUUCCCAGUGUAGAGGUGAAAUUCGUAGAUAUGUGGAGGAACACCGAUGGCGAAGGCAGGUCUCUGGGCUGACACUGACGCUCAUGCACGAAAGCGUGGGGAGCAAACAGG